CCCCGCACUCGCCACAGCCCUUUCGGAGGAGCCACUUCCGGGAGAGAGCGGAAGAGGCGGGUUGGUGGAGGUGUGGUCUAGAUGGCGGCGCCUUUGCGGAUUCAGAGCGACUGGGCCCAAGCCCUCAGGAAGGAUGAAGGGGAGGCCUGGCUGAGCUGUCACCCCCCAGGAAAACCAACUUUGUAUGGCAGCCUAACUUGUCAAGGAAUGGGCCUUGAUGGUAUCCCAGAGAUUACAGCUUCAGAAGGAUUUAUUGUGAAUGAAAUAAGCAAGAAAAGCAUUCAUAUUUCAUGUCCAAAGGAAAAUGCAUCUUCGAAGUUUUUGACACCAUACACUACUUUUUCCAGAAUUCAUGCAAAGAGUAUAACAUGCCUGGACAUUUCCAGUGGAGGAGGCCUUGGUGUGUCUUCUAGUGCUGAUGGGAGCAUGAAAAUCUGGCAGGCUUCCAAUGGAGAACUCAGAAGAGUAUUGGAAGGACAUGUGUUUGAUGUGAAUUGUUGCAGGUUUUUCCCAUCAGGCCUUGUGGUUCUGAGUGGGGGAAUGGAUGCCCAGCUGAAGAUCUGGUCAGCUGAAGAUGCUAGCUGCGUGGCAACCUUCAAAGGUCACAAAGGAGGUAUCCUAGAUACAGCCAUUGUUGAUCGGGGGAGGAAUGUGGUAUCUGGUUCUCGAGAUGGAACAGCACGACUUUGGGAUUGUGGGCGCUCAGCCUGCCUGGGAGUCAUUGCAGACUGUGGUUCUUCCAUCAAUGGAGUGGCUGUGGGUGCUGCUGACAACUCCAUCAACCUCGGCUGCCCUGAGCAGAUGCCCAGUGAACGGGAGGUUGGAACAGAAUCGAAAAUGCUGCUGUUGGCCCGGGAAGAUAAGAAGCUUCAGUGCUUGGGACUACAGAGCAGGCAGCCGGUAUUCCUCUUUAUUGGCUCAGAUGCCUUCAACUGCUGUACUUUUCUCUCUGGCUUCUUGCUGUUGGCUGGGACACAGGAUGGAAACAUUUAUCAGCUGGAUGUGAGGAGUCCAAGGGCUCCAGUACAAGUCAUCCACAGAUCAGGAGCACCAGUUCUAUCCCUGCUGAGAUUCAGAGAUGGAUUCAUUGCUAGCCAAGGUGAUGGAAGCUGUUUCAUUGUCCAGCAGGACUUGGAUUAUGUCAUUGAGCUCACUGGGGCUGACUGUGACCCUGUCUACAAGGUACAGGCCUGACUGGAGGCCAAGACUUGAUGGUUCUCACCUGGCAUCUGGAGCUUCGGAGGGGACUGAAUCCAGUUACUCUGUGAUUUUUACGGGUCGCCACAUGGGAGAAGCAGAUCUACACAUGCUGUCGAGAUGGUCUCGUGCGGCGCUAUCAGCUCUCUGACCUCUGAUUCCUGUGAAGGAGGACUCCCAGUUAAUGAAAACGAUUGACCAUGACCAACAAUGAGCAGAAACAUCAUCAGUCCUUCCCGAGGACCGUGCUCUUUGUUGUCGUGGGCGCCCUUCGGAAGUCACAGAGUCAGCUACAUCGGCCACGUGGAACUGCUGUUCCACACAAGACUAAUGUGAACUGAGUAAGACGCUCACAUGUGCUCACUGCAUUUGCCCGACUUCUCCUUCUAUAAACUCACCGCAGCAACACAGGGAAGGUGAUGGGUUGCUUACGGUUUGAUCGCACAUCUGUUGUGUUAAAUGUUUAGAGGACCAGGCGACCGAAACCUGUCUCUGAAGGGAAUAAAGAGAGUGUGUUUGGAGGAGUCAGAAUUUGAAAACUUGUUAAAUGUUCUUAUUCCAGCAGAAAGUCAGUCAGGCUGAUGGACCUCCUUUCUCAGGCACUUCCUGUUGGCCUGGUCUUAGAGCAGUAAAGAUCCCACAGGCAGCAUGCUGGGAAAGGCUUUUGUACAGGUAGGAUGACUACCAUCCCAGUUUUCCUUGUACUGAGGGGUUUUCGGCUACCUGUGGCUUUCAGUCCCAGCAAACCGAGAUGGCCUGUCAGCCUAUAGACAGGCGAUGAAGUUGAACCAAAACAUUGUAAAGGCAGUGGCUGUGAAAGUGGCCCCUAGAGCAGCUUCUUAGUAUCACCAGGGAAUUAGAAAUAGAAAUUCUUGAGCCCACCUCAGACCUAAAUCAGAAAUUCUAUGGGUAGGGCCUACUAUCUAUUUUAACAAGCCUUCCAUGAUUCUGAAGCAUGCUGAAGUUUGAGAUCUAGAGAAAGAGAUGGUAGAGGGCACUUUAGUCAGAGAUGGAACCCAGGGCUCCUAGGUUGGCCAGGCUGGUCUGUAGGGGAUGAGGCUGGAGAGGCUGGCAGGGCCCGAAUAGUGAAGGAGCUUGACUGCCAGAUGGGGAGCUUGAACUGCGCUUGGCUGGCAGUGGGGAGUCAUGAAGGGGCUUUUAAGCAAAAGUGUGUUAUGGUUACUUCUUUUUUUCUCUAAACAUAAAAAUGGAAUCAUGUGUUCUGUGGCUUAUUUUCACUUAGUAUCUUAGUUCUUUCACAUUUAGACCUUCAUUCUUUUUAACAAUUUCCAGAACAUGAAAGCCAUAUCAUUUACAUUUUAGAGAUUAUUAAAGAAAAAGUUUGGAGCUUACAACACUUGAGCUGAGCCAUGUGGCUGAGCUCUGGAAUUUAUUUAAGGGAAGAAGGUAAUUCCUGGCUCAGGUAACAGUCUGGUUACAGAGUUCUUAAAGGCAUGUUCUCAUGUAGUCUUUUGCUACCUUGUGACAUACCAGUAGUGAGACUCAGAUGAAGUGAUUUGCCAGGGGUCAUAGAGAGCAGGAACUUGAACAGUUUAUCUUAACUUUAAAUGCCAUUUUUUUUCUACCUGUUGCUAAUGCCUAAACAAAAUUGUGAAAAUAAAAUAUUGUCAUUCAUUGAG
RNA transcript from Myotis myotis, 2837 nucleotides. It is a transcript of the gene named proteasomal ATPase associated factor 1, with no coding region annotated. Lineage: Eukaryota; Metazoa; Chordata; Mammalia; Chiroptera; Vespertilionidae. The record is from RefSeq and is a predicted model, not a curated record. The transcript is spliced from 12 exons.